UUGAGCAUAGCACAGCUGAUCCUUUAAUCGUAUGUGUGUAACUAGGUCAGUGUGUAUUGGCCAAACUUCCGUUCACCCUGAGUGUCCAACAAAUAAACUGUGACACACAUACACACACACACACACUCUCACAAACACUCUCACUCACACACUCACACACAGACACUAUGACACAUGGCUAAUGAGUAAGAAAGAAAGUGACAUUCGGUGAACCAGAAAGGGGCAGGGUCUGGGUCACUGUGGACGGAACAUGUUCUAUAAAACCUCAUCUUGCUUUUACUGUGAAAGAAACCCUAUGUUCAAGCUAUCAGCAAGUGACGAGUCGCUCAUAUCUCUGAUGAGCUGUGGAGCAGCAGCUGUUUGUGAUUUUCGACUCAUUAUAUAUAUAUAUAUUUUUUUUUUCCAGUUCCUCUUUAUUCACACGUGAAGUCCUCGGCUUUGUGUGAGCUUCAUUCUCAGAGUAGAUCAGCUAAAACACCUGCAGCCCUGAGUCCUGAGUCUGCAGAGUAAUGGACUGUGUCUGAGCUGCUAUUUUCUGAACAUCAUCGCAGGAGCAGACGGAGUGGGACGCAGUGAACCGCCUGCUGCAGCACCAGGGAUUUAAACCCGUCUGCUUCGCCGAUCCCACUGAGAACAAGAAACUGUCAGACCUGGUGCUGUUGGAGAGAUGGUCCUCGUCUGAGCUGCGUCUCGUGCUGAAGACCAUGCUGAUGGACUCGGAGCGCAGACAAGCUCUGAUCCAGGAACUCAUCCAGUCUAACAGCAAGUUAAAGACAGACAUCAACACACCCUCCAGCUCCUCUGCUCUGUGUGACUGAUGCACCACCCGUGCCUGCUGCUCGUCUCAACGGGAUCUUCACUAAGGCAGGAUCACAGGAUGAAGCCACUAGUGGGAUGGAUCACACACCCUGCUGUCUGUAGGAGCCCAUCGAGAGAAGAAGGUGAGAGAGAAGAGCUGGACGUCUAACAUCACACAGGCAAGUUGUGUUACUGCUACACACACACUUAAACCCAUACAUACAGCAGAAGAGUCUGGGGUCUGAGAUUAUAGGGUCUAGUGGAACGUAAUAUCGCCUCUCUCUGUCCACAUGGGGACGAUGUAGAGCAGCAAACCGCCGAGCUACAAAGACUCUAAUUGUUCAUUAGUGGAAAAGCUGAUGCUGUAAUCUACAGACCCAGUGUUGGGCUUUCACAGGGAACAGGGGCGAAGACACACAAUCUAUCAUACAGC
This is a long non-coding RNA of Tachysurus fulvidraco (yellow catfish), 1231 nucleotides long. RefSeq lists it as uncharacterized. Lineage: Eukaryota; Metazoa; Chordata; Actinopteri; Siluriformes; Bagridae. The transcript has 6 exons. The record is from RefSeq and is a predicted model, not a curated record.